UAGUACGGAAUGAGUUUACAUAGCCUGGGGGGGGUGACGUUUUUUUUUUUUUUUAGGACUAGACCCCAGCUAUAUUUAACUCCUAAGUUAUUUGGUUCAAACAAAGGGAUUGGUGUGGCUAAACAUUAGGUACCUUUUGAUAUUCUAAAAUCUCCGGGGGGCUGGCAUCUAGAUGCUGGGGUGGGGAGGUCUCGACAUCGCUGGGCUGAUUGACUUUUUAAAACCCUACAGCAUCUGUUUUAGACCCUAAAACAUAAAUUAUGUUUUGACAUGUUGUUAAUGAUUCGUAAGUGGCCGUAAGACAAAGACACACUUUUUUGUUUGGGGGUCGGCCUCUGUUUUGACGUAUAUUGUAAAGAGAGAGAGAGAGAGAGCCUUGAGCGCAGACGCCUGGCCAUUUCUGAACACACACCCCGCCCCGUUUUCUUUGUUUUGAAACACACACAUACGCAUACACUCCAGCACACGCACGCACACACACACGCGCGCGCACAUGGCUUUUUCUGCAAGUUUUUUUCUCCGGGGGCAUGCUUGGUGAUAGAAGUUAAGGACUUAUUCCUAUCGUUAGAAGAUAUAGGUCCUGGUUAGCCCCUGACCAUUAUCCGAUCGCUAAGACGCUUGCACACUCCCUCAAAGCUCCGUAAGUUUUCCCUCCAUGGGUAGAUAAUCCGUCCGUCAUGUAAAUCCUGGGGUAUGCACCCAGCUUUAAUGAAUAAGAUGGGUAGAAAAUGAAUCUGUUUAAGUCAUAAGUAAAGGCCUUUCAUAAAGAGGCUGUCAUGAUUGACUGUGGCCCAUAUUUAACACGUAUUGCAUGUUACCUAAGACUAUUGUUGUACAUUGAAUAUCCACUAGCAGAUUUGUGUAGCAUGCAUCUCCACUAUAUCGGUCAUGUUCCUGUGGUCUUUUUAAAAGUUAAUAAACCUGUGUGUAAAAUGUACACUUUUGUUUCACUGUAGAUUUGUUUAAGCCCACCUAGAAACACCUGAUUUAUCCCACAGCAUUAAGGAAUAAGCUGUGUAUAAAAAUAUUCUGUUUAAGUCCUAAGUAAAGGCCUUUCCUAAAGAGGCUGUCAUGAUUGACUGUGGCCCAUAUUUAACACGUAUUGCUUGUUACAGAAGACCCCUGUUGUACAUUGAAUAUCCAAUAGCCGAUUUUUGGAGCAUCUCCACUAUAUCUGUCAUGUUACUGUGGUCUUUUUAAAAGUCAAUAAACAUGUGUGUAAAAUGUACACUUUUGUUUCACUGUAGAUUGUUUAAGCCCACCUAGAAACACCUGAUUUAUCCCACAGCAUCAAUGAAUAAGCUGCGUAUAAAAUUAUUCUGUUUAAGUCAUAAGUAAAGGCCUUUCAUAAAGAGGCUGUCAUGAUUGACUGUGGCCCAUAUUUAACACGUAUUGCUUGUUACAGAAGACCCCUGUUGUACAUUGAAUAUCCAAUAGCCGAUUUUUGGAGCAUCUCCACUAUAUCUGUCAUGUUACUGUGGUCUUUUUAAAAGUCAAUAAACAUGUGUGUAAAAUGUACACUUUUGUUUCACUGUAGAUUUGUUUAAGCCCACCUAGAAACACCUGAUUUAUCCCACAGCAUUAAGGAAUAAGCUGUGUAUAAAAAUAUUCUGUUUAAGUCCUAAGUAAAGGCCUUUCCUAAAGAGGCUGUCAUGAUUGACUGUGGCCCAUAUUUAACACGUAUUGCUUGUUACAGAAGACCCCUGUUGUACAUUGAAUAUCCAAUAGCCGAUUUUUGGAGCAUCUCCACUAUAUCUGUCAUGUUACUGUGGUCUUUUUAAAAGUCAAUAAACAUGUGUGUAAAAUGUACACUUUUGUUUCACUGUAGAUUGUUUAAGCCCCCCUAGAAACACCUGAUUUAUCCCACAGCAUCAAUGAAUAAGCUGCGUAUAAAAUUAUUCUGUUUAAGUCAUAAGUAAAGGCCUUUCAUAAAGAGGCUGUCAUGAUUGACUGUGGCCCAUAUUUAACACGUAUUGCUUGUUACAGAAGACCCCUGUUGUACAUUGAAUAUCCAAUAGCCGAUUUUUGGAGCAUCUCCACUAUAUCUGUCAUGUUACUGUGGUCUUUUUAAAAGUCAAUAAACAUGUGUGUAAAAUGUA
This is a long non-coding RNA of Salvelinus fontinalis (brook trout), 2099 nucleotides long. RefSeq lists it as uncharacterized. NCBI's taxonomy places the organism in Eukaryota, Metazoa, Chordata, Actinopteri, Salmoniformes, Salmonidae. The record is from RefSeq and is a predicted model, not a curated record. The transcript is spliced from 2 exons.